UGGGGAAUAUUGGACAAUGGGCGCAAGCCUGAUCCAGCCAUGCCGCGUGAGUGAUGAAGGCCUUAGGGUUGUAAAGCUCUUUUGUCCGGGACGAUAAUGACGGUACCGGAAGAAUAAGCCCCGGCUGACUUCGUGCCAGCAGCCGCGGUAAUACGAAGGGGGCUAGCGUUGCUCGGAAUCACUGGGCGUAAAGGGCGCGUAGGCGGCCAUUCAAGUCGGGGGUGAAAGCCUGUGGCUCAACCACAGAAUUGCCUUCGAUACUGUUUGGCUUGAGUAUGGUAGAGGUCAGUGGAACUGCGAGUGUAGAGGUGAAAUUCGUAGAUAUUCGCAAGAACACCAGUGGCGAAGGCGGCUGACUGGACCAUUACUGACGCUGAGGCGCGAAAGCGUGGGGAGCAAACAGG
RNAcentral lists this ribosomal RNA (404 nucleotides) under Bacillota bacterium. RNAcentral describes it as "Firmicutes bacterium partial 16S ribosomal RNA". It matches the Rfam family "Bacterial small subunit ribosomal RNA", at positions 355 to 776 of the family's 1533-position model. Lineage: Bacteria; Bacillati; Bacillota. The record is from RNAcentral.